AUUGAACGCUGGCGGAAUGCUUUACACAUGCAAGUCGAACGGCAGCACGGGGGCAACCCUGGUGGCGAGUGGCGAACGGGUGAGUAAUACAUCGGAACGUGCCCAAUCGUGGGGGAUAACGUAGCGAAAGCUACGCUAAUACCGCAUACGACCUGAGGGUGAAAGCGGGGGAUCGCAAGACCUCGCGCUAUUGGAGCGGCCGAUAUCAGAUUAGCUAGUUGGUGGGGUAAAGGCCUACCAAGGCUACGAUCUGUAGUUGGUCUGAGAGGACGACCAGCCACACUGGGACUGAGACACGGCCCAGACUCCUACGGGAGGCAGCAGUGGGGAAUUUUGGACAAUGGGCGCAAGCCUGAUCCAGCAAUGCCGCGUGCAGGAAGAAGGCCUUCGGUUGUAAACUGCUUUUGUCAGGAAGAAAUCUUCUGGGCUAAUACCCCGGGAGGAUGACGGUACCUGAAGAAUAAGCACCGGCUAACUACGUGCCAGCAGCCGCGGUAAU
Molecule: ribosomal RNA, 499 nt
Filed under: uncultured bacterium
Lineage: Bacteria
Description: bacterial SSU rRNA
Rfam family: Bacterial small subunit ribosomal RNA
Source: RNAcentral